UAGGGAAUCUUCGGCAAUGGACGAAAGUCUGACCGAGCAACGCCGCGUGAGUGAAGAAGGUUUUCGGAUCGUAAAACUCUGUUGCUAGAGAAGAACAAGGACGUUAGUAACUGAACGUCCCCUGACGGUAUCUAACCAGAAAGCCACGGCUAACUACGUGCCAGCAGCCGCGGUAAUACGUAGGUGGCAAGCGUUGUCCGGAUUUAUUGGGCGUAAAGCGAGCGCAGGCGGUUGCUUAAGUCUGAUGUGAAAGCCCCCGGCUCAACCGAGGAGGGUCAUUGGAAACUGGGAGACUUGAGUGCAGAAGAGGAGAGUGGAAUUCCAUGUGUAGCGGUGAAAUGCGUAGAUAUAUGGAGGAACACCAGUGGCGAAGGCGGCUCUCUGGUCUGUAACUGACGCUGAGGCUCGAAAGCGUGGGGAGCAAACAGG
Molecule: ribosomal RNA, 429 nt
Filed under: Gemmatimonadota bacterium
Lineage: Bacteria; Pseudomonadati; Gemmatimonadota
Description: Gemmatimonadetes bacterium partial 16S ribosomal RNA
Rfam family: Bacterial small subunit ribosomal RNA
Source: RNAcentral